RNAcentral lists this unclassified non-coding RNA (270 nucleotides) under Glomeraceae sp. RNAcentral's name for it is "partial contains 5.8S ribosomal RNA and internal transcribed spacer 2". The stretch from base 1 to 65 matches the Rfam family "5.8S ribosomal RNA", at positions 84 to 154 of the family's 154-position model. The record is from RNAcentral. Lineage: Eukaryota; Fungi; Glomeromycota; Glomeromycetes; Glomerales; Glomeraceae.
GUGAAUCAUCGAAUUUUUGAACGCAAAUUGCACUCUCCUCGGAGAGUAUGCCUGUUUGAGGGUCAGCCUAUAAAAAAUCGACAUCGUUGCUGUUUCGCGGUGACGUUCGUCGGAAAUUGGGUCAUCUUAAAUCCUUUUGGUUUUAAGCGACUUAAAAUUCUCUUUGUGGUUACAUGAACGUUUCUAAGAUUAUUUUCUUUUAAGUUUUAAGGGUAUCGUUUUAUAUUAGAUGUGACUUGCAUAUCGGAUCGUGCAUAUAUUCUUCCAUUA